UGCACUAUGGACGCUUUGUCGGCAGGGCUUGGGGCGGAAGUGCCAAUGAAACAUGGCAUCAGAGAGGGUCAUAGUCCCGUGCUCGCUCAAUCCAAGCCCGUGUGCAGCGAAAAGUGCUCCGCGAGUCGCAUAGUUUGGUAAUGCUAUGCCAAGUGGGAGGUAGAGCCCUUCUAAAGCUAAAUAUGAUGAUGUGACCGAUAGUUCACAAGUACCGCGAGGGAAAGGUGAAAAGUAACCAUGUAGAAUGGGUUGAAAGAGAAGUGAAAGUGCUACCGGGAUAAGGGCAUGUGACAGCUGGUGUCUGUAGGGCGUGCUUCAGUGCUGUCCUUCUAGAACGGUGUGCGGAUGUGUCCGAUGGGGAGACAAGGCUGUCUGGGAAUGUGGCUCAACCUUCGGGAUGAGUGUUAUAGCCCGGCGUGCAAAAGAACCCCAUGACACAUGUGAACUGUGCAUCUUGCUGUGGCAUGCCUCCCGUCUCGAAACACGGACCAAGGAGUGCAUCUUGCAUGCGAGUCGAAGGGGGUUGGAAUCCCUGGAGGCGUAGCGAAAGCGAAAGACUGUGAAUUGUUGGCAGGCCCUUGUGGCCAGAUGGGAUGAUAAAUCAGCAGCGACCCGCUUUGUGCGAGGGAGAGCAUGCAGGAUACGACCCGAAAGAUGGUGAGCUAUGCUUGGACAAGGUGAAGCCAGUGGAAACGCUGGUGGAGGCCUGAAGCGGUUCUGACGUGCAAAUCGAUCGUGUGAUCUAAGUAUAGGGGCGAAAGACCUAUCGAACCGUCUAAUGGCUGGUUCCCCCCGAAGUUUCCCUCAGGAUAGC
Molecule: ribosomal RNA, 814 nt
Filed under: uncultured Cantharellales
Lineage: Eukaryota; Fungi; Basidiomycota; Agaricomycetes; Cantharellales
Description: eukaryotic LSU rRNA
Rfam family: Eukaryotic large subunit ribosomal RNA
Source: RNAcentral